This 254-nucleotide ribosomal RNA is filed under the name uncultured bacterium. Its description in RNAcentral is "partial 16S ribosomal RNA". It matches the Rfam family "Bacterial small subunit ribosomal RNA", at positions 524 to 777 of the family's 1533-position model. The record is from RNAcentral.
UACGAAGGGGGCUAGCGUUGCUCGGAAUCACUGGGCGUAAAGCGCACGUAGGCGGACUCUUAAGUCGGUGGUGAAAUCCUGGAGCUCAACUCCAGAACUGCCUUCGAUACUGGGAGUCUUGAGUCCGGGAGAGGUGAGUGGAACUGCGAGUGUAGAGGUGAAAUUCGUAGAUAUUCGCAAGAACACCAGUGGCGAAGGCGGCUCACUGGCCCGGUACUGACGCUGAGGUGCGAAAGCGUGGGGAGCAAACAGGG